UUUGAGCUUCAGAAAUUUAGAAUACAGUCAAAUCCACUUAAAUGACUUUGAAAGGGUCGGCAAUGUGCAGCCACAGUGAUGGAAUCUGGGACAGUCUCUUCCUUCCACCUCUCUGUGACCUCUGGGAUUUUGGACACAGUUUGAUGCAUCUUCAAGGUAUGCACCUACUUUAGUCACUUUCCCAUCACGGGACAAGAUACCUGACAUCCACAACUUAAAGGUGGAGGGGUUUAUUUUGACUCAUGGUUUAAGUUCAUGGUCAGCCAGCUCCAAGCCAGAAAUGGCAUGGUGGAAGGGCCUGGCUGAAGAAAACCUGUCCACAUCACGAUGGCCAGGAAGAGAGAAAGAAGAAGCAGCUGAGGAGGGAGAAGCCCCCUUCCAGGACCCACCCCAGUGACCCCCUCUCCUGACCAGGAUCCACCUCCUAACAGCACAGUCAGCUAUGAUUCACCAGUGGAAUGUCAGAAAAUAAAAGAAGCAAUGGUUGCAGAAUGAGCAGACCCAGGGCAUCCAUACCUUGAGCAAGAACAGCACAGCCACUCUGCAAACCUUACCUGGAGUCUGAAGGCCAGAGGGACAGGAAGCAGCAGAGGCUGAUCCCAUUCAGUGCUGAGGGCCA
RNAcentral lists this long non-coding RNA (619 nucleotides) under Heterocephalus glaber (naked mole-rat). RNAcentral's name for it is "lncRNA (ENSHGLG00000042873.1)". Lineage: Eukaryota; Metazoa; Chordata; Mammalia; Rodentia; Bathyergidae. The record is from RNAcentral.